CUGUAGUAUAUAAAUGUUUGAAGAUAGCAACCCUGAACAGUUCAGUCUGUUUCAUAGAGCUUUGUGCAUCUUUAUAUUGGAAGAGUUUUUGAUUGGUUGUCUUCGUUAGCAACUGAAAGACAGUUACAAGGAAGAAAAGAAAGGAAAUGGAUAAACACAGUGGCAAGAGUUCAGGCGACUCCAAGGAGAAAAGGGGUGCAAAAGAGGAUGGUGGGAAGGUUGAAGGUUCUGGAGCUGCUAAAAGCGCUACUGGAAAACAUCCAGAAGAAACUCGACAAUGUGAUUCCAUCCUUGGCUCAAUUGGUAGUCAUAAAAAGUGAAUCAAACAUGAUGCGAAGAUUUCCUAUAGAGAUGGGUGUUGAAAAAAUCUGAAUUUCUUUUUAAUAAAUUGUCUUAACAUUCGUGGAUUAAAAUAAAGUAAAGAAGAGGAAUAGCACAUUAUACUUAUUAACAAACAGUUAACAUUUUCUUUCUAUUUUCUCUUACUAUUUUGAAUAAUUUGAAUAUUACAAAUAAAAUUUAACUCAAAUUUGUGCAAA
Saccostrea cuccullata (small rock oyster) is the source of this 539-nucleotide long non-coding RNA. RefSeq lists it as uncharacterized. Lineage: Eukaryota; Metazoa; Mollusca; Bivalvia; Ostreida; Ostreidae. The record is from RefSeq and is a predicted model, not a curated record. The transcript is spliced from 2 exons.